AACGUAGGACACAAGCGUUAUCCGGAGUUACUGGGCGUAAAGGGCGUGUAGGCGGACGUGUAAGUCUAUUCUGAAAGCUCCUGGCUAAACUGGGAGAGGCGAAUGGAGACUGCAUAUCUAGAGUGAGGAAGAGGAAAGUGGAAUUCCGCGUGUAGUGGUGAAAUGCGUAGAUAUCGGGAGGAACACCAGAGGCGAAGGCGGCGCACUGGACAGCAACUGACACUCGAACUGACGAAAGCGUGGGGAGCAAACAGG
This 255-nucleotide ribosomal RNA is filed under the name uncultured bacterium. Its description in RNAcentral is "partial 16S ribosomal RNA". It matches the Rfam family "Bacterial small subunit ribosomal RNA", at positions 524 to 776 of the family's 1533-position model. The record is from RNAcentral.